This 1346-nucleotide ribosomal RNA is filed under the name uncultured bacterium. RNAcentral's name for it is "bacterial SSU rRNA". It matches the Rfam family "Bacterial small subunit ribosomal RNA", at positions 28 to 1381 of the family's 1533-position model. The record is from RNAcentral.
GACGAACGCUUGCGGCGUGCGUAACACAUGCAAGUCGAACGGAAAGGCCCUGCUUUUGUGGGGUGCUCGAGUGGCGAACGGGUGAGUAACACGUGAGUAACCUGCCCUUGACUUUGGGAUAACUUCAGGAAACUGGGGCUAAUACCGGAUAGGAGCUCCUGCUGCAUGGUGGGGGUUGGAAAGUUUCGGCGGUUGGGGAUGGACUCGCGGCUUAUCAGCUUGUUGGUGGGGUAGUGGCUUACCAAGGCUUUGACGGGUAGCCGGCCUGAGAGGGUGACCGGCCACAUUGGGACUGAGAUACGGCCCAGACUCCUACGGGAGGCAGCAGUGGGGAAUAUUGCACAAUGGGCGGAAGCCUGAUGCAGCAACGCCGCGUGCGGGAUGACGGCCUUCGGGUUGUAAACCGCUUUCGCCUGUGACGAAGCGUGAGUGACGGUAAUGGGUAAAGAAGCACCGGCUAACUACGUGCCAGCAGCCGCGGUGAUACGUAGGGUGCGAGCGUUGUCCGGAUUUAUUGGGCGUAAAGGGCUCGUAGGUGGUUGAUCGCGUCGGAAGUGUAAUCUUGGGGCUUAACCCUGAGCGUGCUUUCGAUACGGGUUGACUUGAGGAGGGUAGGGGAGAAUGGAAUUCCUGGUGGAGCGGUGGAAUGCGCAGAUAUCAGGAGGAACACCAGUGGCGAAGGCGGUUCUCUGGGCCUUUCCUGACGCUGAGGAGCGAAAGCGUGGGGAGCGAACAGGCUUAGAUACCCUGGUAGUCCACGCUGUAAACGGUGGGUACUAGGUGUGGGGUCCAUUCCACGGGUUCCGUGCCGUAGCUAACGCUUUAAGUACCCCGCCUGGGGAGUACGGCCGCAAGGCUAAAACUCAAAGGAAUUGACGGGGCCCCGCACAAGCGGCGGAGCAUGCGGAUUAAUUCGAUGCAACGCGUAGAACCUUACCUGGGUUUGACAUGGAUCGGGAGUGCUCAGAGAUGGGUGUGCCUCUUUUGGGGUCGGUUCACAGGUGGUGCAUGCCUGUCGUCAGCUCGUGUCGUGAGAUGUUGGGUUAAGUCCCGCAACGAGCGCAACCCUUGUUCACUGUUGCCAGCACGUUAUGGUGGGGACUCAGUGGAGACCGCCGGGGUCAACUCGGAGGAAGGUGGGGAUGACGUCAAGUCCUCAUGCCCCUUAUGUCCAGGGCUUCACGCAUGCUACAAUGGCUGGUACAGAGAGUGGCGAGCCUGUGAGGGUGAGCGAAUCUCGGAAAGCCGGUCUCAGUUCGGAUUGGGGUCUGCAACUCGACCUCAUGAAGUCGGAGUCGCUAGUAAUCGCAGAUCAGCAACGCUGCGGUGAAUACGUUCCCGGGGCU